GCCCAGGAGUUGGAGGCUACAGUGAGAUGUGAUGGUACCCAGGCUGGAGUGCAGUGGUCCUCCUGGGCUCGAGAGAUCC
RNAcentral lists this microRNA precursor (79 nucleotides) under Chlorocebus sabaeus (green monkey). Its description in RNAcentral is "miRNA (ENSCSAG00000024614.1)". Lineage: Eukaryota; Metazoa; Chordata; Mammalia; Primates; Cercopithecidae. The record is from RNAcentral.